RNAcentral lists this ribosomal RNA (1422 nucleotides) under uncultured bacterium. RNAcentral describes it as "16S ribosomal RNA". It matches the Rfam family "Bacterial small subunit ribosomal RNA". The record is from RNAcentral.
AGAGUUUGAUCCUGGCUCAGGACGAACGCUGGCGGCGUGCCUAAUACAUGCAAGUCGAACGCUUCUUUUUCCACCGGAGCUUGCUCCACCGGAAAAAGAGGAGUGGCGAACGGGUGAGUAACACGUGGGUAACCUGCCCAUCAGAAGGGGAUAACACUUGGAAACAGGUGCUAAUACCGUAUAACAAUCGAAACCGCAUGGUUUUGAUUUGAAAGGCGCUUUCGGGUGUCGCUGAUGGAUGGACCCGCGGUGCAUUAGCUAGUUGGUGAGGUAACGGCUCACCAAGGCGACGAUGCAUAGCCGACCUGAGAGGGUGAUCGGCCACAUUGGGACUGAGACACGGCCCAAACUCCUACGGGAGGCAGCAGUAGGGAAUCUUCGGCAAUGGACGAAAGUCUGACCGAGCAACGCCGCGUGAGUGAAGAAGGUUUUCGGAUCGUAAAACUCUGUUGUUAGAGAAGAACAAGGAUGAGAGUAACUGUUCAUCCCUUGACGGUAUCUAACCAGAAAGCCACGGCUAACUACGUGCCAGCAGCCGCGGUAAUACGUAGGUGGCAAGCGUUGUCCGGAUUUAUUGGGCGUAAAGCGAGCGCAGGCGGUUUCUUAAGUCUGAUGUGAAAGCCCCCGGCUCAACCGGGGAGGGUCAUUGGAAACUGGGAGACUUGAGUGCAGAAGAGGAGAGUGGAAUUCCAUGUGUAGCGGUGAAAUGCGUAGAUAUAUGGAGGAACACCAGUGGCGAAGGCGGCUCUCUGGUCUGUAACUGACGCUGAGGCUCGAAAGCGUGGGGAGCAAACAGGAUUAGAUACCCUGGUAGUCCACGCCGUAAACGAUGAGUGCUAAAGUGUUGGAGGGUUUUCCGCCCUUCAGUGCUGCAGCUAACGCAUUAAGCACUCCGCCUGGGGAGUAGGACCGCAAGGUUGAAACUCAAAAGGAAUUGACGGGGGCCCGCACAAGCGGUGGAGCAUGUGGUUUAAUUCGAAGCAACGCGAAGAACCUUACCAGGUCUUGACAUCCUUUGACCACUCUAGAGAUAGAGCUUCCCCUUCGGGGGCAAAGUGACAGGUGGUGCAUGGUUGUCGUCAGCUCGUGUCGUGAGAUGUUGGGUUAAGUCCCGCAACGAGCGCAACCCUUAUUGUUAGUUGCCAUCAUUUAGUUGGGCACUCUAGCAAGACUGCCGGUGACAAACCGGAGGAAGGUGGGGAUGACGUCAAAUCAUCAUGCCCCUUAUGACCUGGGCUACACACGUGCUACAAUGGGAAGUACAACGAGUCGCAAAGUCGCGAGGCUAAGCUAAUCUCUUAAAGCUUCUCUCAGUUCGGAUUGUAGGCUGCAACUCGCCUACAUGAAGCCGGAAUCGCUAGUAAUCGCGGAUCAGCACGCCGCGGUGAAUACGUUCCCGGGCCUUGUACACACCGCCCGUCA